UCAAUGGCCGGAGCAGCUCAGGUGAGUUUGACUUUGAUUUUGCCCAGUUCUUGGUCAUUGCCAGCAUCUUAACCAUGAGUUUGACUUUGAUUUUGCUGCGGAUUGAUCCAUCAGGUGCUGGCGCUCGUUCUUUUCAUCGGUUCCUUGAUUAAUUAUUCACUUGUCCGUAGGUAUGUAUCAUGGCUCAAAGUCACGCACAUGAGAUUUGAGACUUUUUUGGGGGCUAAUGAUAAAUAUUGUUGGUGAUAAGGAGUGUAUGCUUAUGUGCUGUACCUUUUCAUAUUUCAAAGUGGUUGUAAGAAUGGCUAUGAAAUUGAAGAGCCGGCCAGAGGAGGUAGUGAGGCAUGUGCUCUAUAUAAUUUUCUGGUCUCUCCUUCUGGCCUACCAUACUGUUUAUAAUUUGUCUCGGUUCACAGAACUACGAUUAGUCAGUGUUGUCUGGAUGUGUUGUACACUUGUACCAUAUUAGAUUAUGUGUUCUGCCCAGCAGGGAUUAUUUAUCGAUGCUUCUUGGUGUAUCUAGAGAGUCUGAUUAGAGAGAAGUCAGUUCACAUCUCAGUGGCCUUUGUUGUUUAAUUUACACAACAUGUGCAGGUUCAUAUAGCAGUAUGCAUGUGUGAAUAUAAACUCUUCAUGCAAGGUGGCAGUAAAAGGCCUUUCGAUUUUACCUUAGGCACUACAGGCAGCUAAUAGAUAGGCCCAUUGCUUGCAUGAUGAUAAGUUUUGAACUGACGGUGUUCUUGACAAUAGUUGCAUAAGUGCACACGAGGUCCAAAGAAGCGUUGUUUCAUGUUUUACAAUUAAAUCAUGUCUACUCGAAGGGACAAUAUGUUCCGCUUGUGUAUCCUACCACCCUCUGCAUACUUACUCUAUGGUAUAUAUAAGAGCUACACCAUAUUUUGGGCUUCUCACAUUUGUGUCUAUCCAUUGGCAUCUUAUCUAUGUUUUGUUUUGUUUGUUUUUUUGAAAGGAACACAAAUGUAUUCCAUUAAACUGGUGUGCUCGGCAUAUCACCAGCACACAGGUUUAGUACAAAUUGUGGUAGAUGGCCAAUGCAGACCUCACGAUCGUCAUCCCCUAACAGAGCACCACGCGCAGCUAGUUCAUGAGCUACAACAUUACAUGAUCUUGGUACAACAGAUAUUCUAAAGUUUUCAAAUCUAACACAUAACAUGGCUUUUAUUUCUCUAAAUAGAACACCUGGCGGCGCUAGAUCAUACUCGCUUGAUGUAAUAGCAUUCUUCAGUACAGUCGAAUCUAUUUCUAGAAUCACCUGAUUACACCCCAUUGAUGAGGUGAUUUGCACCGCUUGGAGAAGAGCUCGAGCUUCAGCUUGAAGAGCAUUGCCGACUUCUUGAAGAUGACCUUGUCCAGCUGCCACUGCUACUCCUCGAUCAUUCCUGACUAUAAAGCCCCAACCACCUGAAAAGGAUUGUUCCCUAAAAGCCCCAUCUACGUUGAUCUUUAAAAAAUUAUGCAUCGGUCGAGACCAUUGCAGCUGCAUCUUAUUACUUGGUAUUAGUUUCUUUACCUGCAUGUUCUUGUAUUCCAAAACAUGAACUGUGACAGAGGUAAUUAUCUCAUCUGAUGUUUUUGGUUUCUCUCCUCGGUUUGCUUUAUUCCUUUCCGCCCACCAGAUCCAGAGCAAACAACAAGCUGUGAGCCUCUUUUCUUUGUUUAGAUUGAAUAUUUCAUGUAGGAGAGAUGGGCCGCUUGGGCAUCCAGCAAUUAACUCUCUUGUGUCCUCCAUUUGAAGUCCUCUCCAGAUUGGUUUAACUAAUUUGCAUUUGCAAAAAAUGUGGCCUCCAUCUUCAUUUAAUCUAAAACAAAGUGGGCACCUGGUAUCAAUAUUCAUACCUCUUUGUUUCAGCUUCAUUCGCAAUGGUAAACUGUUGGUGGCCACUCUCCAUAGGAAAUGCAGAAUCUUGUUAGGCAGAGGGAGUGACCAUAGUUUCUUCCAUUCAAAACCACAUGUGUUUCCCACUGGAUUGGAGCAUUCAGGUAGCCCUUUCACAGAUUCAUGUGCUUCACAAUCCCGUGCUACUUUGUAUGCAGAUUUGACUGAAAAAAGUCCUUUUUUAUCAUAGUGCCAUGCUGGGAAGUCAUCUAGCUGCUCAUGAAUUGGGAUCCUGAGUAUAACCUGUACAUCUUCGCCUACCAUUGAUUGGUUUAGUAGGUCUAGGUCCCAAGUGUUAGUUACUGGAUUUAUGAGCUCCUCGACGUGCGUGAUUAGAUUGUUGCCCUUCCUUGAUAUGAUCCUUCUUGAUAUUCCUCUUGGGAUCCAUGGGUCGUUCCAUAUGUUAAUAGAUUUGCCAUUCCCCACUCUCCAUAUUAUGCCUUUAUUUAGCAAAUUUAUCCCUUUUAAUAUGCUCCUCCAUGUAUAUGACAUUCCCCUUGCAAGCUUUGCAUUUAAGAUUUGCCCAUCUGGGUAGUAUUUCGCAGAUAAUACUCGGGCACAAAGGGCAUUUGGGUUGUGGAGAAACCUCCAUGCUUGUCUUGCAAGCAUUGCUAUAUUGAACGAAUGGAGAUUCCUGAACCCAAGACCCCCAUUUUGUUUGGACGUUGUCAAUCUUUUCCAGCUCACCCAAUGUAUCUUGUUUUCCUUAUCCAUUUGACUCCACCAAUACCUACAGAUCAUCUCGCUCAAUUGAUCACAAAAGGAUUUUGUAAGGUCAAAACAAGCCAUUGCAUAGACUGGAGUUGCUUGAGCCACGGCCUUGAUUAAGAUUUCUUUCCCUGCCUUCGAAAGCAUUUUUUCUUUCCAGCCUUGGAUUCUUCUCCAAACCCUUUCUCUUAUGUACGCAAAAGUUUUACUCUUUGAUUUCCCAAUAUAAGCUGGCAGGCCAAGGUACUUCCCUAAAUAGCCCUCCUUGUGGAUGUUAAGGAUGUUCUUCAUCCUUUCUUUGUGACAUGGUUUGAUGUUCCUGCUGAAGGAUAGAAGAUUUCUCUCUAUUGAUUGCCUGGCCUGAGCAUUUCUCAUACACUUCAAGGAUGUGCUGCACUUCUGUUGCAUUCCUUUCAUUUCCUUCAACUAGUAAUAAAGAAUCGUUAGCAAAUAGUAGAUGACUAACACUUGGAGCAUUGCGACAGAUUUUAAUACCUUUUAGUCUUCCAUUUUCUUCCGCAUCUUGGAGCAUUGAUGAAAAGCCUUCUGCACAAAUCAGGAAAAGAUAGGGAGAUAAUGGGUCCCCUUGUCUUAGCCCUCGCCCGGGAAGAAUUGUGUUAGUGACUUCAUUGUUGACCUUGAUUUGGUAUCUAACCGUGGUUACACAUUUCAUCACUAGGUCCACCCAUCUUCUUCUAAACUCCAGCUUCCAAAUCAUUCCUUCAAGAAAAUUCCAUUCAAGGCGAUCGUAAGCCUUGCUCAUGUCCAACUUUAGAGCUGCAAAUCCUGAUGCUCACUCCUUUUAUUCUACAAAUAGUGUGUUAAUUCAUAUGCAAGAAGGAUAUUAUCUGAAAUAAUACGCCCGGGGACAAAAGCACUUUGAUUAUGAGAUAUAAUAUCAGGGAGGAUAACCUUCAAUCUAUUGGUAAGUACCUUAGACACCACUUUGUAGACAACAUUGCAUAGGCUUAUUGGCCUAAGAUCUUUCAGCUUCUCUGGUUUUGAAUUUUUUGGUAUGAGUACUACCAAAGUAUCAUUCCAGCCUUCUGGCAUGUCUCCUCCCUUCAAAACAUUGAGCACUUCUCUUGUCAGCUGGUCUCCAAUGGUUUGCCAGAAGUGUUUAAAAAAGAUGGCAGGCAUUCCAUCAGGACCAGGUGCUUUAAGGUUACCGAUGUUUUCUAGUGUAGUUUUGGCCUCUUCUGGAGAGUAUUCCGCGCAUAGGACAUUGUUCAUGUUGUUGUCCACUUUUGUUGGAACAACUUGCAAUAUUUCUGUUAUGUUAUACCCGGCUUCUGAUGAGAAGAGGUUGAAAAAAUAUUCUGCCACAUGCUCUCUCAUCUGUUCUUGGCUUUCCACCCACGACCCAUCUUCUUUCUGAAGUUUGUUUAUUUUAUUCCGUUUCUUCCUUUCCGAUGCAAAAGCAUGGAAGUAGGUUGUGUUACGAUCCCCGGAAUGUAACCACUUCACGUGUGUUCGCUGUUUCCAGGUGUCAUAUUGUUGUUCCAAUCUAUUUAUUUUUUCCCUUAGCAUGUGUUCUCGUGUAAUAGAGCUUUGGCUGAUUUCACUCCUCCUGGUGAGUUCUAAUUCCUACUUCAUUCUUUUUAUUUGCUUUUGUGUGUUUCCCAGGACCUUAGCAUCCCAUUCCUUUAAAUCGACAACUACUUUCCGAAGACCUUCCAUUAGGUUCCCAACCCUGUUAGUUGUCAUGUUGCUCCAGGCCUUGUUUAUGAUGUUUUCACAGUCCUCCUCUUGGAGCCAUUUUGCUUCAAACCUGAAGAAAUUAACUCUAUCAUAUGAUCUGGAUCUGUUGUUAUUAUUUUCACCAGUAAUCAUUAUCACUGGUCUGUGGUCGAAAUGUCUGUGAUCACCAUUAAUCACUUUAUAGGAUGAGAAACGAUCACACCAAGACCUAGACCCAAGUGCCCGAUCAAGCCUUUCUUUCACAUAUCUCCUAGCAUCCCAACUAUUGUUACACCAUGUAUAUUUGUCUCCAUAGUAGCCCAAGUCUCUGAGACCACAUUCCUCAAUCGCCAUUCUGAAAUUGUCCAUUUGACUCUGAGGGCGAGGCGGCCCGCCUUUUUUCCAUGUUCAUAGAGUAUUUCGUUGAAGUCCCCCAUGCAUAGCCAAGGGAGGUCUGAUUGGUGGUUUAGCAUUCGCAAUAGUUUCCAUGUAUUUCCUCUUUUGUCACUUGCUGGUUCGCCAUAUAUUCCAGUGAACCUCCAUUUAAAACCAUCAUCCUCUACCACUUGCACAUCUAUAUGAUACUUGGAGUAGUUGUGAAGUUCAAUAUUUAUCUCCUUUCUCCAAAACAGUGCUAUGCCUCCACUUUUUCCUUUGCAAUCUUUAGUUACCAUCCCUGACAUUCCUAACAUCCAUCUAAAUCUGCUUAUCUUGUUUUCCACCAUCUUUGUUUCGGAAAGAAAAAGCACAUCCGUGUCCUCCCUCUUCUGGAGAUCCAGAAGCCCUCGAACUGCCAAGCCAUUACCCAAUCCCCAGCAGUUCCAAGCCACUAGUUUCAUUGGGGCCCGCACGGGCUGUCCCUGCAGCCCAGCUUCCACAUUAGAUUGUUGCGUUACAGUGCUUUGGCCAACCGCCUCCAUAGCAUCAUUCGAAACAUCGAUGUCCAUCUUGGUUUUCUUUGCAAACUCAAGGCCCAUAUCUAUUUCGAUAGCAUCAGCACCUCUCUUAUUUGUACAUUUUCCCUCUACGGGUUUUGAUUUCCCUCCUGUGCUUCUUACUCAUCGCUUGAAAGUGCCAUGUUUGCCAUUCUUUUCUGUCUUUUCCAAAGCUUCUGCACCUUCUACUGCCACUUCAUUCUCUUCAUUGAUUUUUGGUGACCUGUUGUCAUUAUUAGUCAAACCUUCUUCAGGUUGGAUAGUUGGUACAUGAGCUGAUGGUUCCUUUCUCGUCGUUUCCUCCAUCACCAAUCGGUUUCCUCCCAUCUUCUUAUGUUCCUUCACUACUCCUGAAUCCAAGGAUGUUGAGCCUAGCUGGUCAUUUUUAGCAUCCACAGAUUUGUCUUGGGGAUCUGCCUCCUUGCUGCUUUCCUUCCCUUUAUUUCCUUCUUUAAUAAGCAGCUUUCUUCCACUUGUAUUUAGUUCAUCUUUCCCUGUUUGUUUCAUCAGGGGGCUGGUUAUCUCUUUCCACCCUCCAUGUGAGCCUGCGGAACCGUCAUUUUCAGGCGAGAUUUUCCUCCAGGAAUCAGAGUUACUUCGUUUACUUCAUCCGCUACUGCUCUUCCAGAAGCCCCCUCUAUCUAAUGAUCCCCUGUUUUUAUUUUCUUCGCUAGGCGACACUCUCCACGUGUUCGCUUUCAGCCAUGGUCCAUACUCUUGUUUUGUACACCAUUUUUGUUUACUUGGACAGUCUUUAUCAUUAUGCCCAAUCACUCCACAUAUGUAGCAAAAAUCUGGUAAGUGUUCAUAUUUGAAAGUCACCUCACGCUCUUUGUCUUUCUCCUUCUUGUCAUCUUCGUCAUCUAUGAUGGCAUCCUCUUUCGCUUCCUCUCUUUCUUCAUCAUCGUCUUCGUCGAAGAUAAUAGUGCCCCUCAUGAGUGGCUCCGUAAUUUUCAUUCUCACUUUGACUCUCAUAUAUUCUCCCAUCGUCAUUCCGCAAUCAUCCACAUCAAUAUCUAAUACUUCGCCAAUAUUCUUACCUAUUUCUUUGCCUGAUUUUGGUUGUGGAAGUAUGCGGAUAGAGAAUACACUGUAUUUUUUUUGCAUGGCCAGCUUGGUUUGAUAUGUGGUGUUAGAUUUUCUUUCCUUGAUUAUUUUAAUAGUUCCAUGUCUACUCAUAUUCCUUUUUGUAUUUUCCAGGACUGGAUACUAUUGUUUUGCCUAUUCCCUGGUUUGGUCGUGAUUAAUGACAAUGUUGUUUUCUCUAAAGUUCUGCACAUUGUUGAAUUUUAGAGGCGAGGGCUUCCACAUGCCCAGAUCCUUGUCUGGUUGAGAGAGGAUGGCCUAAAGAUUGGUAUAUAUAUAUUUCUUUUUCAUUUAUGUAGAAAUUACAAACCAUGUUCUUGAUCCCUUAGAUUAUUCCAUGGUUUCUACAUUUUAUUUGCCUCUUUUCUCCUGCAGUUACUUUCUCUUUCAUUUACUUUUCUAUUACAAUCACUCAUUCAAAAAGAAUAUUCAGUGCACCUAUAAAACAUCUAACAAAAAUAAUCAUAGACCCUUCUUUCUAAAUCAGAAUAUAACAGUACUAAAUCAGCUAGAUGGGUUGUAGAUGCUUUGUUACUCAAUGAUAGGAAAAAAUGUUAGUUGCGCUCUUGACCUACCUACCAGCUACUGACCGCCCUAUCCAUUUCCCUCUCCAAGUUCAUAUACUUUCUUUGUUGGCCCAAGACACAAAGCAAGUUCUGCGUUUGUUGUGUUCAUUCGUUCCUGAUCAACGAUUUUCUUUUCCAGAUGACCCAUUUGGUUUCCGCUCCGUUACUUUCUACUUUGCUGAUGGAAAUUGAAGGAUCUGCGUGUUUGUAAUCUUAGAACUUUCGGUCAUUUUAGAACUUUCGGUCAUUUGUAAUCUCUCCAUGGCGCUUGCCGCUCUGACAGCGAUUUUGAAACAAUUAUUACCUGAUAAAAGAUGAAAGUAGAAUGCUUAUGUUAUUUAAUUUUGUCUGUUCAUGCUUAUCCUUUUGGGUACUUCUGAAGGAACUUUUGGGUUGUUUCCUACCCACUAACAUUAUUUAUCAUAAAAUUCUUUAUUGAAAUCUUGAAUAAGGGAACUAUAAUAAUGCAGAUAAAUACGAUUUUUUUUCUUAUUUUACAAACAGGUGCAUAUUAUGAUUAUUGUGUUGGGGUGCAAGGCGCAACUCCGACGUGGUUCCUCACCGGUUGGACGGUGUUCAGGCGCAACCCCGGCGCCCACUGAGUACUGCC
This 7482-nucleotide long non-coding RNA is filed under the name Triticum aestivum (bread wheat). Its description in RNAcentral is "long non-coding RNA (TAES_LNC023245)". The record is from RNAcentral. Lineage: Eukaryota; Viridiplantae; Streptophyta; Magnoliopsida; Poales; Poaceae.